RNAcentral lists this ribosomal RNA (468 nucleotides) under uncultured bacterium. Its description in RNAcentral is "partial 16S ribosomal RNA". It matches the Rfam family "Bacterial small subunit ribosomal RNA", at positions 28 to 507 of the family's 1533-position model. The record is from RNAcentral.
GAUGAACGCUGGCGGCGUGCUUAACACAUGCAAGUCGAACGGAAAGGCCCAAGCUUGCUUGGGUACUCGAGUGGCGAACGGGUGAGUAACACGUGGGUGAUCUGCCCUGCACUUCGGGAUAAGCCUGGGAAACUGGGUCUAAUACCGGAUAGGACGAUGGUUUGGAUGCCAUUGUGGAAAGUUUUUUCGGUGUGGGAUGAGCUCGCGGCCUAUCAGCUUGUUGGUGGGGUAAUGGCCUACCAAGGCGUCGACGGGUAGCCGGCCUGCGAGGGUGUACGGCCACAUUGGGACUGAGAUACGGCCCAGACUCCUACGGGAGGCAGCAGUGGGGAAUAUUGCACAAUGGGCGCAAGCCUGAUGCAGCGACGCCGCGUGGGGGAUGACGGCCUUCGGGUUGUAAACUCCUUUCGCUAGGGACGAAGCGUUUUUGUGACGGUACCUGGAGAAGAAGCACCGGCUAACUACGUG